This is a long non-coding RNA of Papio anubis (olive baboon), 3918 nucleotides long. The record is from Ensembl. NCBI's taxonomy places the organism in Eukaryota, Metazoa, Chordata, Mammalia, Primates, Cercopithecidae.
GAGGACCCUGUGAUGACAUCAAACCCACCAGGUGAUCCAGGCUCAUCUCUCCAACUCAAAAGAUCCUCAGCUUAAUCACACCUGCAAAGUCCCUUGGCCCUGCAGGAUCACAUCUGUACAGGUGGGGAGAAGGGCAUAGGUAUCUUGGACGUUAUUCUGCGGGGCACAACCCGGCCCUGCUGGGGAGUUCUUUCAGAAAGCCUGGAGGCUUGAGCAUAUGGCGAGGGCCUACGGGCGGGUGCUGGGGACGCAGAACCACGCCUCUGAGAAGGUGCUUCUGGAGAAAGCGCCAGCACGGGGAGGCUCAGCUGGCGGGAGUGCCUCCUCAGUCAGAGCCAAGCGCGUCUUCUCUGAACCAGGGAGCAACGCCACUGGAGACCACAAGUGCAGGGAGAGGAGCCCGGAUGACAGGGGCAGUUCUGGGGGCCUGGCAUCUUCUGGGAGCCCUGUGCCGGCAGGGCCCAUGCCGCUGUGCCGGAGACAGCCCAGUUGACCCCAUGGCCACUGAGCAGUCAUCAAAGUGGGGGCCUGCCAGGAACUCCCCUCCCUCCGUCUGUCCUGGUCCGCCUCGGCCACGCUGACAGCCUUUCCUCACAGAGGUCUGGGUUUUCUCGGAACCUCACGAUCAUUUCAAACUGUAUCUGUGACUUCUCAACCCAGGUACCUAAAAAUCAACGUCCUCCACGGCGGCUUGAUCUCUAAUCUGAUAUCUCAUGUGUUGCAGGCAUGAUGUCCACCCAGGCCCAUGGAGCCUCCCCAUCAGCACUCCAGUUGGCCACAGGCAGGUUGUAGGCCAAGCUCGUGGGGCCUGGCAUCCUCACUGUGCCUAGGGAACGUUCCCAUCAGCUUGGGCACACACGUGUCUUUUCUGGGGAGAACUUGUAGACCAACAAGCUGUCUCUUGGUUCUGCACUGUGUGAGCUUGCAAGAGAAGCGAUGCAGGUCAAGUGAAACUACUUUUAUCCUUUUCAAUGCAUUAUUUCUCAUUUCUGUGCUCCAUCAAGAUGGUACUCUCACCUGCAUGCCGGAGCUCUUAUAAAGGUAUAUCCAGUUCUGUAAGCACCAUUUGUUGAAAAGACUAGUUUUUGUCCCAUUGAAUUUUUUUGGUCCCCUUUCCAAAAGUCAUAAAUGUAAAGGCUAAUUUCUAUAUUCUCAAAUCCAUUCUAUUGAUCUAUAUGUCUAUUUUUAUACAGUGCCAUGUUCUUGAUUACUGUAGCUUUGUAGUAAAUUUUGAAAUCAGGAAGUGUAAGUCUUUCAACUUUUUUUUUUCUUUUUCAGAAUUGCUUUGGCUAGUCUGGGCGCUUGCAUUUCCAUAUGGAUCGUAAGAUCAGCCUGUCAGUGUCUGCAAAACCCAGCUGGGAUUUUCGUAGAUAUUGCAUUGAAUCUGUAUCUAUUUGGGGAGUGUAGCCAUUUUAACAAUAUUAGCACUUACAAUCUCUGAACUUGGGGUAGUUUUCCAUUUAUUUAAGACUUCAUUCAUUUCUUUCAAUAUUUUAUAGUUUUCUGUGUAUUAUCCUUAUACUUCUCUUGUUAAAUUCAUUCCUAUGCAUUUUAUCCUUUUUGCUACUAUUGCAAGUGAAUCAUUUUCUUAAUUUCAUUUUUUGUUUGUUCAAUGCUAUUGUAAAGAAAUAAAAUUGAUUUCUGCAUAUUCAUUUUGUAUCCUGCUACCUCGCCAAAUGUAUUUAUUAGGUCUAAUUGUGUGCGUGUGUAUGUGUGUGUGUGUUCUGUAGGAUUUUCCAUAUAUAAGAGUAUAUCAUUUGUAAAUAGAGAUUUUAUUCCUUGAAAAUCUGAAUGCCUUUAUUUCUGUUUCUUGCUUAAUUUCUCUGGCUAAAACCUUUAGUGUAACGUUGAGUAGAAGUGGAGACAGUGGGCAUCCUUGUCUUCUUCCUGACCCUAGAGAGAAAGCUUUCAGUUUUUCACUAUUCAACAUGACAGUUGUUGUGGGAUUUUUCUAGAUGCCAUUUAUUAGCUUGAGAAAGUUGUCUUGUAUUCCAAGUUUAUUAAGUGAAACAACAUAUAAAGGGGUUAUGAAAUGGUGUUAGAAUUUUGUCAUUCUUUUUUGUAUCUAUCAAGAUGAUCAUGUAUUUUUUAUUCUUUAUUCUAUGAAUAUGGUGUAUUACAUUGAUCGACUCUUGGAUGUUAAAGCAACCUGGCAGUCCUGGGAUGAAUCUUACUUUUUCAUAAUGUAUACAAAUUUUUCUAUGUUUCUAGAAUGGCUUUGCUAGUGUUUUGUAGAGAAUGUUUGCAUUUUUGUCAUAAGAGAUAUUGAUCUGUGGUUUUAUUGGCUUGUGAUGUUUUUGUCGGGCUAUGGUAUAAGGGUAAUUAAUAUAAAAUAAAUUAGGAGAUAUUUGUUCUUCUAUUUUUAAAAGACUUUGUAAAUGGUGUUAAUGCUUCUUUAAGAAGCCACCUGAUCCUGGGCCUUUCUUUGUGGCAAAUAUAAUGUUGUUGUUAUUAUUAUGAAUUUAAUCUCUUUAUUUAGUAUAUAUUCAACAUUUUUAUUGUUACUGAGUUGGUUUCAAUAGCUCAUGUCUUUUUUUUUUUUUUGAGAUGGUCUCUCACUGUGUCGCCCAAGCUGGAGUGUAAUAGCGCGAUCUCGGCUCACUGCAGCCUCUGCCUCCUGGGUUCAAGCGAUUCUCCUGCCUCAGCCUGCCAAGUAGCUGGGAUUACAGGUGCCCACUACUACGCCCGGCUAAUUUUUGUAUUUUUAGUAGAGACGGAGUUUCACUAUGUUGGCCAGGCUGGUCUUGAACUGACGUCAGGUAAUCUGCCGGCUUGGGACUUCCACAGUGCCAGGAUUACAGGAGUGAGCCACCGCUCCUGGCCAGUAGUUCACAUCUUUAUAGGAAUUUGUACAUUUUUUCUAGGUUACCAAAUUUGCAGGCAUAUGACUAUUGUAUUUCCUUAUCUUUCUUAUUUUUGUAAAAUUGAUACUAAUAUCCCUUCUUCCGUUUCCAAUUUUAGUAACUUAAGUCUUUUUUUUUCCUUGAUGAGUCUAGCUAAAGGUUGGUCAGUGUUGUCAGUCUUUCAAAGAACCAACAUUUGGCUUCACUGACUUUCUCUUACUUUUCUAUUCUCUGUUUCAUUAAUUUCACCUCUAAUCUAGAUGAUGUGCUUUCUUAUUCUUGCUCUGGGUUUCAUUUACUUAGUUUCUUAAAAUUGAAGUUUAGGUUAUUGACGUAAGACCCUCCUUCUUUUUUAACAUCAACAUUUAUAACCGUAAGUUUGCCUCUAAGUGCUGAACUGCAUCCCAUGAGUUUCAGAGUGCCUCAACACACACACACACACACACACGCACACACACGGACACAUACACACAUACACACAGCACACACACACACACACACACACACACAGAGCUCCUUGGCAAAGACUGAGAGAGCACAUUCUAGUAUUAAAAUGUCCAGCCAGGCAGUUCUGCCUUAGCCUUUACUUCUUUUUUUGAGACAGACUCUCGCUCUGUCGCCCAGGCUGGAGUGCAUUGGUGUGAUCUUGGCUCACUACAACCUCCGCCUCCCGGGUUCAAGCAAUUCUCCUGCCUCAGCCUCCCCAGUAGCUGGGAUUACAGGCACCUGCUACCACGCCCAGAGAAUCUUUUAUGUUUAGUAGAGAUGAGUUUUCACCAUAUUGGCCAAGCUGGUCUCGAACUGUUGACCUCAGGUGAUCCCCCGGCCUUGGCCUCUCAAAGUGCUGAGCCUUUACUUCUUACUUCUUUAGAGCCUCAAGACCAGCCAGAGGUAGAAGUGAGAGCUCAGGCCUUUCCUGAACAUGCACGUGGCCGUCUAGAUUCCCGGAAAGAUGUUGGUUCGCAGCUCCUGUAGACAUAUCAUUCCCCAGCUUUUUAAUUUGAAACUUGUUGGCUACCUUAUUGUUUCUCAAACUCUUAUCCUCUGCUUUGGUUACCAUGAAGCUAAACAUUUG